Cyanistes caeruleus (blue tit) is the source of this 583-nucleotide non-coding RNA. Lineage: Eukaryota; Metazoa; Chordata; Aves; Passeriformes; Paridae. The record is from RefSeq and is a predicted model, not a curated record.
AGCAUAUGUUUUGAUCCUUUCUUCCCUGGGGAUUUCUCUUAGCCUAACACUGCUGGAACCCAGGAUUCGAAAUGUAGGUCACACACUUUGGCAUCUAAAGAAGUGCUUCUGAUACCAUAUGGAGCCUCUUCAUUUAAGAAAGAGAAGAAAAAUUGAAGAAUGUAGUUAUGUGUGUAAAUCUUCCAGGGGAUGACUGUAGGUAAUGGUAUGACAUGGCUGGGAAAACAGUGAAGACAUCCUCAGAGUGUAUCAGUGUUGCUGCUCUGUCAGAAAUCUCUAGGACACUGCAUCCAGAACAUAUGGAGAGCAUCCUCACCAUUUGGUACUUUGACUCUACCACUCAAAAGUAGCCAGAGAAGAUGAAGCAGUUCAGUAUCUGUUGAAAUGCUUUGACUGGCAAGAUAUGACUGCUGCUAAUAGUUGUGCAUAAAAUACAAUUGUUUAAAAUUACUACAGUCCUCCCAGUGAUAAUGGGGUUCAGUAGAUGCAUCUCCUGAGGCUCUUAACUAUCUGAUUUCAUAGUGAUUAAUAUAAUGAAUUUCUGAAGUCUUUAACAACAUUACCCACUGAGAUUUUUUUAUUA